RNAcentral lists this long non-coding RNA (324 nucleotides) under Capsicum annuum. Its description in RNAcentral is "long non-coding RNA (CANN_LNC013607)". Lineage: Eukaryota; Viridiplantae; Streptophyta; Magnoliopsida; Solanales; Solanaceae. The record is from RNAcentral.
AAAAUUACAAACAUAUUUAGUUGGAAGUUGUAAUUAUUGGGACUAAGUUCAAUUGAUGAUUUAAAAUGUGCUUCAAGUGGAAACCUAUGUAUAAUUUGAUUUUAGCAUGGUACAACGAUACAAUUCCUUACAACAACAAUAUACCCAGUAUAAUCCCACAAAAUGAGGUUUGGUGAAGAUAGAGUGUAAGCAGGCCGUAUCACUCCCUCAGAGGUGAGGUAAGAGGUUAUUUUCGACUCGGCUCAAGACAAAAACAAUAUAAAAAAAGAUAAAUAUACAAACUAGGUACAAUAGAUAGUAACAAAACAACAAACAGUAAGAGAA